CUGACAGUCCUGGAGACGGAGGGCUUCUAACCUGAGGUUAGGUACAUGCUUCUCCAUUCUGCCUCACCCCUGACCUGGAGGGACAGCUCCAAGGAGAACAGGGUUGUUCAGUCUCCAUAGCCCUUUCAUUUUGGUUUCU
Chelonoidis abingdonii (Abingdon island giant tortoise) is the source of this 139-nucleotide unclassified non-coding RNA. The record is from Ensembl. Lineage: Eukaryota; Metazoa; Chordata; Testudines; Testudinidae.